This 67-nucleotide transfer RNA is filed under the name Marmota monax (woodchuck). Its description in RNAcentral is "tRNA.Val". It matches the Rfam family "tRNA". Rfam says of the family: Transfer RNA (tRNA) molecules are approximately 80 nucleotides in length. The record is from RNAcentral. Lineage: Eukaryota; Metazoa; Chordata; Mammalia; Rodentia; Sciuridae.
GGUUGUGGCUCAGUGGUAGAGCACUUGCCUCACAUGCAUGAGGCACUGGGUUCAAUUCUCAGCACCA